UUGGCUAGAUUGGGGGUUAGGUUGUUUGACUCUGCUGAAAGUAGUAUAGGGGUUGAGAGUCGUUCCAAAUCCUUUUUGGCUUCGAAAGUGAACGAAAAGCAAUACUUAGAUGCUAGUUUAGUCAUACUGAAGGAGUCAGUCAAGGACCAAAAAGUAGAGGUUUUCUCCCAAGGGGGAGAUGGUGUGUUGAGAUUGCAGG
RNAcentral lists this long non-coding RNA (199 nucleotides) under Capsicum annuum. RNAcentral describes it as "long non-coding RNA (CANN_LNC003052)". The record is from RNAcentral. Lineage: Eukaryota; Viridiplantae; Streptophyta; Magnoliopsida; Solanales; Solanaceae.